GGAAGAAAGAAAGAAAGAAAAAGGCAGGAAGGGAGGAAGGAAGGGGAAAAAGAAACAACCUGAUAUAAUGCAUGCAAUCAAUUGAAGGAAAAAAACCCACAUAUAAAUCUUAAGUUUGUGUUGUAAGCAAGGAAAGCACAGAUCUUCCCAUUCUUUCUUUACUAUAUCAGUAACCUGGCUAUGAAUCUAUUUUAGGUAAAAUAAAAAGACAAUUGAAUACGAACUUGCAUUGCAAAUUUGAAAUGCUGAAUUUUUAAAAAAUCUCUAUAAGGUGUAUAAAAGUAGUCAGGACACGGUGACUCAUGCCUGUAAUCCCAGAACUUUGGAAGGCCAAGCCUGGCAGAUCACUUGAGGUCAAGAAUUCGAAACCAGCCUGGCCAACAUGGUGAAACCCCGUCUCUACUAAAAAUACAAAAAUUAGCCAGGUGUGGUGGCAGGCACCUGUAGUCCCAGUUACUGGGGAGCCUGAGGCAGGAGACUGACUCACUUGGACCCUGGAGGCGGAGGUUGCAGUGAGCCAAGAUCAGCCCACUGCACUCCAACCCAGGCGACAAAGCAAGACUCUGUCUCAAAAAAAAAAAAAAAAAAAGUUGAUAUUUUUUAAUCUGAUUGAGAUUAUUACUUAGGAAAUUGUUUUUGCUGAUGUUUUUAAGUGGGGCCAGUAACUAAUUAACUGGAAAUAGACUGUGAAGUAAGAGAGUUAAGAUAUGUAUUAUAGAUUUAGUUCAAAAUAUCCCAAAACUUCCCAGGUAUUCAUAUGCCCUGUCGUCCCCACAGGAAACAUCUUUAUUUUGUCUAUGUAUGUUCUAAACACAGUUAGUUCAUCUCUAUAUUACUAUUCUCAAAAUGGAUGCAUCCACAAGUGUACAGUGUGUCUUCCAAAACCAAAUCACUGUUAAGACAGAGAUCAAGAGCAAGAAAAUUCCAUUCAUUCAUCCCUCCAUCCAUCCACUCAUUCAUUUACCUCCUAUUUACAAAACACUUUGUUGGAUAGGAGAAGGCUACUGAAUAUGGGUACAGCACAGAUUCACUCUGACCAUGCAAUCAACUUGGCAUUAUAGGAUAUUUAUAAAAGAUGAAACUAAGCUUUUUGGCAAGGAAAAUUACAAUAAUAUGUAAGUUCUGCACAUCAGUAUGAAGAGUGAUUUUUUCUUUUUUUGGUCAAUCUUCUGUAUUCUAUCCGUGAGCUAUAUACUUACUUUAACUUUUUAAAUUCUCACAACACUCCUAUAGAGGAAGGUUUUCUUGGUUCCUUCCUGCUGCCAUAACAAAAUAACUGAGAGUAAUUAUAAAAACAGACAUUUAUUUCCUCACAGUUCUGGGGGCUGGAAACUUUAAGAUCAAGGCACAGGAAGGUUCUUGUCUGUUGAGGGCUGCUCUCUGCUUUCACGAUGAAGCCACUUGCUGUGUCCUCACAUGGAGGAAGGACAAAAAGGUAUUACUGUGCUCCUUCAACCUCUUUUAUUUGAGCACUAAUUCAUUCAUGAGGGUGCAGCCCUUAGGAUUUAAUCAUUUACCAAAAGCUCCUUUUUUUCUUUUUUUGAGAUAGGGUCUCACUCCGUUUCCCAGGCUGGAGUGCAGUGGCAUGGUCACAGGUCAAUCUCCUGGGCUCAAGUGGUCCUCCCACAUCAGCUUCCCUAGUAGCUGGGACUAUAGGCAUGCACUGCCGUGCCUGGCUAAUUUUUGUAUUUUUUGUAGAAAUUGGGUUUCACAGUGUUGGCCAGGCUGCACUUGAACUCCUGGGCUCAAGUGAUCUGCCUGCCUCGCCUCCCAAAGUGCUGGGAUUACAGGCAUCAGCCCCUGGGCUAGGCCUAAGGCCCCACCUCUUAAUACUAUCACCUUGGCGCUUAAGUUCCAACAUAUGAAUUUUUGGAGGGACACAUACAUUCAAACCAUAGAAAGGUAUUAACCACAUCCUCCAAGUACAGAAAGUGAUGCUCAGUGAGGGGCUAUUUUCAGACUAAAGUUCUAGACCAGGGCUCUGGAGCUUCAAGAGGGUGUUCCAGGCCCCAGUGAGAAAAAGUACAGUGGGUAAAGGAAGGGACAUGGAUAGAAAUGUAAGAGAAAGAAGUUGCCUUUGUUGGGGAGAAAAAUGUAUAGUUUUAAUAUGAGGCAAAAUAUUGAGAGAGAAUUUUCAAUCACAAUAACUUGAGGGAAAAUAAACAACAAAUACUGUGUGGACAUUAAAUUAGACUGUAAGAGUGUAGGCUGCCUUAUCUUUGUUUCUAGGCUCAUAAUCUAAAACCUUGCAUCUCUGAGCCAAGGUUUCUUCAUCCGUUGUUCAGGUGACCUCACGGUUGGCUGAAUAGUGGUUCACACUGGCUUCUGUUUUAUAGCUGGCAGGGUAAACUUAAUGUCUUAAAUAAUUAGGCAAGUACUUUUAUUGAGCAUAUUCUUAUAGCCAUACCGAAAUUCACUAAGCCAGACAGCUUUAAAUUAGAAUAAGCCACAAUUGUUCCAUAAUGUAGUUAUACAGCUGGCAUUGAGAAGCUUUAGUCCAUCAAUGACAGCAUUAAAACGACUUUUGUUAAACCCAUUGUCCCACAUUAUAUGAUGCAGCUGUUGAAGAGUUACAGUUGCAUAUUCCUAUUUUGUAUCAUAUAUCUGGGUCCAAAAUCCUCUACUAGUCCAUAGGCAAUGGGUUGAACCUAUUGAAUUUAACUGAUAAAUGAAGACAGAAGA
This 2682-nucleotide long non-coding RNA is filed under the name Homo sapiens (human). Its description in RNAcentral is "HSALNT0087358". Lineage: Eukaryota; Metazoa; Chordata; Mammalia; Primates; Hominidae. The record is from RNAcentral.